This is a non-coding RNA of Amazona collaria (yellow-billed parrot), 135 nucleotides long. NCBI's taxonomy places the organism in Eukaryota, Metazoa, Chordata, Aves, Psittaciformes, Psittacidae. The record is from Ensembl.
GUGGCUGACUUCACUGCUGGCUGCAUUCGCUAGGAAUGAAUGCAGCCGUGAGCAGCCACAGACAGUAAAGCCAGUGGUUCCUGCCGACAGAGUCUGUAGAGUCAUCAGAUUUUCUGUGCGAUGGUUCCAUACAUU